This 1294-nucleotide unclassified non-coding RNA is filed under the name Lingula anatina. RNAcentral describes it as "dual specificity mitogen-activated protein kinase kinase 1, transcript variant X3". The record is from RNAcentral. Lineage: Eukaryota; Metazoa; Brachiopoda; Lingulata; Lingulida; Lingulidae.
AGGGCACCCACUAGCAGUUCACUUCCGACUAUUAUGGGAUGUGUUUGUAUGAACUGAUCAAAGUUACUCUCUAGUCUUGUAGCAACACCUGACAAAUGGCAGCAGAGAGUAGCAAACGGAAACAACAGUUUCUAUUAGACCGGACUAGGAAUAAACUGGGGCUUACGUUACCCCCCGCAUCCGAAUCACCUUCCGGGGAUGCAACAGAUUGCAAACCAUCAUCAUCCACAAAUGUGGAAUCAUUGCAGAAAGCACUUGCAGGACUGGAUCUUGAUGAUCAACAGCGACAGAGACUUGAACAGUUUUUGACACAGAAAAAGAAAGUGAGAGAAUUAAUGGCAGAAGACUUUCAGAGAUUAGGAGAACUUGGAGCAGGCAAUGGGGGUGUUGUCACUAAAGUUUUACACAAACCAACAGGUUUGAUAAUGGCCAGAAAGCUAAUUCACCUUGAAAUCAAACCAGCUGUGAGGAACCAAAUCAUCCGUGAACUCAAGGUGCUGCAUGACUGCAACUCCCCCUACAUUGUAGGCUUCUAUGGUGCAUUCUACAGUGAUGGAGAAAUAAGUAUUUGCAUGGAGUAUAUGGAUGGUGGUUCCCUUGAUUUAAUAUUAAAGAAAGCAGGUAGAAUUCCAGAGCCAAUAUUAGGAAAGAUUACAAUAGCUGUUUUGAAAGGGUUAACAUAUUUAAGAGAAAAGCAUCAAAUUAUGCACAGGGAUGUGAAACCUUCAAAUAUUCUUGUCAAUACAAAAGGAGAAAUCAAGGUCUGUGAUUUUGGAGUAAGUGGACAGCUCAUAGAUUCCAUGGCCAACUCUUUUGUAGGAACGCGGUCAUACAUGUCACCUGAACGUUUACAAGGAACACAUUAUUCAGUGCAGUCAGACAUUUGGAGUAUGGGUCUUUCUCUAGUAGAAAUGGCCAUAGGCAGGUAUCCUAUUCCUCCACCAGAUCCCAAGGAUGUGAAAGCCUUAUUUAGUGAUGAUGUGGCUAUGGAGCACCUGAAUGCAGCUAGGACAGGAAUCCCACUGCCAGGCCUUCCAAGCAACUUUGAAAUAAUGAGCAAUGACGGGCCUAUGCCUAUGGCUAUCUUUGAGCUGUUGGAAUACAUUGUAAAUGAGGCAGCAGAAAUAGCUUUACUCUCCCCUCAGCUGAUGGACCUAGACCAAUGGCCAUAUUUGAGCUUUUAGAUUACAUUGUCAAUGAGCCUCCUCCAACCUUGCCAAAGUCAGCAUUUUCUCCGGAGUUUGAAGAAUUUGUUUCCAAGUGCUUGCAGAAGGAACCAACAGAACGUGCAGAC